GGAAAGGUGGCCGAGUGGUUUAAGGCACUAGUCUUGAAAACUAGAGGGUGUUAAAGCUCCGUGGGUUCGAAUCCCACCCUUUCCGCCA
RNAcentral lists this transfer RNA (88 nucleotides) under Candidatus Bathyarchaeota archaeon. Its description in RNAcentral is "tRNA-Ser". It matches the Rfam family "tRNA". From Rfam's summary of the family: Transfer RNA (tRNA) molecules are approximately 80 nucleotides in length. Lineage: Archaea; Thermoproteati; Candidatus Bathyarchaeota. The record is from RNAcentral.